GAUGAACGCUGGCGGCGUGCCUAAUACAUGCAAGUCGAGCGAACGGACGAGAAGCUUGCUUCUCUGAUGUUAGCGGCGGACGGGUGAGUAACACGUGGAUAACCUACCUAUAAGACUGGGAUAACUUCGGGAAACCGGAGCUAAUACCGGAUAAUAUUUUGAACCGCAUGGUUCAAAAGUGAAAGACGGUCUUGCUGUCACUUAUAGAUGGAUCCGCGCUGCAUUAGCUAGUUGGUAAGGUAACGGCUUACCAAGGCAACGAUGCAUAGCCGACCUGAGAGGGUGAUCGGCCACACUGGAACUGAGACCCGGUCCAGACUCCUACGGGAGGCAGCAGUAGGGAAUCUUCCGCAAUGGGCGAAAGCCUGACGGAGCAACGCCGCGUGAGUGAUGAAGGUCUUCGGAUCGUAAAACUCUGUUAUUAGGGAAGAACAUAUGUGUAAGUAACUGUGCACAUCUUGACGGUACCUAAUCAGAAAGCCACGGCUAACUCCGUG
RNAcentral lists this ribosomal RNA (497 nucleotides) under uncultured bacterium. RNAcentral describes it as "partial 16S ribosomal RNA". It matches the Rfam family "Bacterial small subunit ribosomal RNA", at positions 28 to 507 of the family's 1533-position model. The record is from RNAcentral.